Equus caballus (horse) is the source of this 1490-nucleotide non-coding RNA. Lineage: Eukaryota; Metazoa; Chordata; Mammalia; Perissodactyla; Equidae. The record is from RefSeq and is a predicted model, not a curated record.
UGAGAAGAAUGUGUAUUCUGCAGCUUUUAGAUGGAAUGUUCUGUAUAUGUCUGUUAGGUCCAGUUGGUCUAAAGUAUAGUUCAAAACCAGUGUUUCCUAAUGGAUUUUCUAUCUGGCUGAUCCCUCCAAUGUUGAAAGUGGGGUACUGAAGUCCCCUGCUUUUAAUGUAUUGUUGUCUAUUUCUCCUUUCAGAUGUUACUAUUUUCUUAAUAUAUGGUAGGAGAUUGAACCCUGGGAUCUAUCAAUAGAAGACAAAUGAAGCAUGGCAAUGAAAAGAGAACCUGCCUACCAGUCCAUCUAUCUCUCCUAAAGAAAGUGCUGGGCAGUAAUGCCAAAUUCUAUCAAUAUUCCAUUUAUUUUAGCCAUGGUACAUGAGCAGCAAACUGAUCUACUCAACUCUCAGUCUUCACAGGAGGCAGUAGACACAGCAAUAUAACCAGAUUCUUUGCUGCACUAACAGGCAUGAAGGAAUGACCACUUCCAGCUACCUCUCAAGAGAGAAACAGGCCGCACCCACCUACCUCACUCCCCACUCCUUAUCCAGGGACUCCUGUGAGUGCUGAACUGGCUCUACCAGCCAACACCAACAGCAGCAGUGGCAUGCAAAACAUUUAUUGAAUGAAGUGAACAAGGACUGGUUGGCAACCACUUUGUGCCUAACCUACUGGUAUCCUGGGAGUCAAGGAAGGAAGGAGUGGGGAGGAGAUUCUUAAAAUAUACAGAGAAAUUUACAACAACACUGUUGGGCUCUCAGAUUGAGCUGGUCCUGCUAACACACUGCAUGAUAUAUAAGCACAUGCAUUUCUGUUUGCUCAGUAAACCCUAUAUGUUGUGUGACAUGAAAUACCCCAGCAUUUAGUUUCUCCCCUCUUUAAUCCACCUGCAGCACUGCAGCCAGUGUAAUCUUAAAUCCACAGAUCUAAUUGUUGCCUUUCCUCUACUUUAAAAACACUCCUUGUUCACAGCAGUAGCUUCCUGUUGAUAAUGAGAAUCAGCUGUGGAACAUUUUUAAAAAUGCAAAUUCCCCAACUAUAUCCCAGAGAUCCUGAUUCCAGGGUUGUAGAGUGGGGCUUAGAAACCUGUAUUUUUCAGUUAUGAGCUGUGUUUGAGCUCUGCUCCUUUAUAGUUCUUCCAAGUGUUUUUGCAUCUGUAGUUCAUGUAAAUCACACAUUAACUUCUGAAACAGGGCCACGAGACUAGUUUUGACAAACACUGAGCAGAAGUGAUGUAUGUGUUUUACACUCACCUGUGUAAAGAACAGCUUCUGUGUAAAACAGCCAAUGUUUUGCACCCCAGAUGCCUCUGCCCCUGCCUCAGCAACCAAGGACAUUCACUACCUGCUCCAGAUGGUGCAGCUACGAGAUGGUGGAACCAUCUCCAACAACCUGGAUCUUUGAAGAAACUAUGUGGAUCAGAGCCCCUCCCCCCAAUUUCAACCUCAGUUGGACAUGUAAUAUGAGCAAGAAAUAAACAAUUAUUAUAGCAAGCCA